GUUGGGGUUAGUUAAGGUUUGAUCCUGUGCGUCAGGUGUUCAUGGUGCUGAUGUUCCUGAUCGCCAUCAUCCUGUACAGAACCAUCGUCAGCAUCGUCAUCUACAGAGCGCACAAGAGCUUUGUCGUCCUCUCUGCCAGUAGGAUCGCCAGUCUCACUGGGUCACUGUUGAACCUGCUGGUCAUUAUGACGCUCUCUAGAAUCUACAUCUCACUGGCCUACAUCCUGACACGCUGGGAGAUGCAUCGGACUCAGUCUAAAUACGAAGACAUGUUCAUCCUCAAAGUCUUCAUCUUCCAGUUCGUCAACUUCUACUCUUCUCCCGUCUAUAUCACCUUCUUCAAAGGAAGGUUUAUCGGUUACCCGGGGAACUAUAACGAACUGUUUGGGAUACGCAAUGAAGACUGCGGUCCUGGCGGGUGUCUGAUCGAACUGGCUCAGGAGCUGUUGGUCAUCAUGGUGGGAAAACAGCUGAUCAACAACAUUCAGGAGUUCCUCAGUCCGAAGCUGAAGGGCUGGUGGCAGGCCAGGAAGGGGGAGGAGGGCGGGGGGGAGAAGGAACCCCCGUUGCCGUGGGAGACGGAACUACCAGCUGUUGGUGUUGUGAGGGGGCUGUUCAGCGAGUACCUGGAGAUGGUGCUCCAGUUCGGGUUCAUCACUAUCUUCGUGGCGGCCUGCCCGCUGGCCCCUCUCUUCGCUCUGUUCAACAACUGGCUCGAGGUGCGUCUGGACGCCCAUAAGUUUGUGUGUGAGUACCGGCGGCCAGUGGCCGAGCGCGUCCCCGACAUCGGCAUCUGGCUCACCGUCCUGCAGCUCAUCUCCCACCUGGCCGUGCUCAGCAACGUAGGCCUUCCUGCUGGCCUUCAGCUCCUCCUUCGUACCCCGGCUCCACUACCGCUGGACCCACGACGGCAGCCUCGCAGGCUACGUCAACUCCACCCUCUCCUACGCCCCUCCCAACGCCACCAGCCAAUCAAACCCCGUCUGCAGGUUUCGCGGCUACAGAGAUCAGGCAGGGAACUUCCUGCCCGAGUUCUAUCAGCUGUUGGCUCUGAGGCUGGCCUUCGUCAUCGUCUUCGAACACGUGGUGUUCCUGAGUGGCCGUGUGAUCGACCUGAUGGUCCCUGAUGUCCCAGAGGAGGUGGAGACGAAGAUCAAGAGAGAGUUCUACAUGGCCAAGGAGGCUCUGGCAGAGCACCAGUCGGCCGACCGGACGCUGAUCCCGGGGCAGAUGGAGCUGGGCGGCGUGCGCCAGCGGGUGACGGGCGCUCUCCUCCAGGGCACGCUGGUGAACCUCCUCCAGUCCUACUCAGACCCGUCCCAGGAGAGCUCCACAUGAACCCCCCUCCAUACACCGUCAGGACGCACACAAUUAAACACAAUGCAUCAAUAUCCCUUCA
Molecule: RNA transcript, 1399 nt
Organism: Gadus macrocephalus (Pacific cod)
Lineage: Eukaryota; Metazoa; Chordata; Actinopteri; Gadiformes; Gadidae
Gene name: anoctamin-7-like
Exons: 11
Source: RefSeq, a predicted model, not a curated record